AUACGGAGGGUGCGAGCGUUAUCCGGAUUUAUUAGGUUUAAAGGGUGUGUAGGCGGGAGCCUAAGUCAGUGGUGAAAUCUCACAGCUUAACUGUGAAACUGCCAUUGAAACUGGGUUUCUUGAGUAUAGUUGAGGUAGGCGGAAUGUGUAAUGUAGCAGUGAAAUGCAUAGAUAUUACACAGAACACCGAUUGCGAAGGCAGCUUACUAAGCUAUUACUGACGCUGAUGCACGAAAGCGUGGGUAGCGAACAGGAUUAGAAACCCUGGUAGUCC
This 274-nucleotide ribosomal RNA is filed under the name uncultured bacterium. RNAcentral's name for it is "partial 16S ribosomal RNA". It matches the Rfam family "Bacterial small subunit ribosomal RNA", at positions 523 to 796 of the family's 1533-position model. The record is from RNAcentral.